GCGGGCGUAGUUUAGUGGUAAAACAUUAGCCUUCCAAGCUAACUAUGAGGGUUCGAUUCCCUUCGCCCGCU
RNAcentral lists this transfer RNA (71 nucleotides) under Elusimicrobia bacterium RIFOXYB2_FULL_48_7. RNAcentral describes it as "tRNA-Gly". It matches the Rfam family "tRNA". From Rfam's summary of the family: Transfer RNA (tRNA) molecules are approximately 80 nucleotides in length. Lineage: Bacteria; Pseudomonadati; Elusimicrobiota. The record is from RNAcentral.